Long non-coding RNA from Siniperca chuatsi (mandarin fish), 3590 nucleotides. RefSeq lists it as uncharacterized. The transcript is spliced from 5 exons. NCBI's taxonomy places the organism in Eukaryota, Metazoa, Chordata, Actinopteri, Centrarchiformes, Sinipercidae. The record is from RefSeq and is a predicted model, not a curated record.
UGGAUGUGAGGAGGGAAGACGAAAGGGUUUAUCGCUGCAAUUCUAAUCCCACUGUUCCUCUCCUUUUCCCACCCUCCUGUAUUGUUUACCCCCUUUAAUCUCCUCCGGCCUUUAUUCCCCAUCUGCAGCAUUUUUCAUUUAUUUUAUCCCUAUCAUAUUUGAACCUCCUACUCCAUAUUUUCCAUCUCCACCAAUGUUGCACCAUCCUUUUCCCACCCCAUCCGGGAGUGGGCGCAGGAACGGGAACUCUGACCACAGGCUGUAGGAAGCGUCAGGAGACCAGGCUGGGAGGUGGCAGAUGUCUGGGUGGUACCUCAGAGGAUGUCUAAGUCUCCAGAAUGUUUUCCAGUCCUCUAUUGAAUCUGUGCACACAUACACACAUAACACACACAAGUGCACCGGCUCCACUGUUCUCCCUCUCCACAUCAUCUUGUCUCCCUCUUCCAGGAAAUGUGCGGUGCCGUGUUAUGAUCGAUGGGUUGCGUUUAAAAACGAAGCGGCCCCCACUGUUUGUUUGUCUCUGUUACGCAUGGUUGCAGAAUGACAGCUGGGACCAGUGCAUGGUUUUGAGUCUGUCUGGCAAGAAAAGUUGGGCUCCUUUGGUUUAACUCGUCUUUUGUUCCAAAGGAGGAAAGAGAAGAGAAUGUCACAUGGCUCAGAUAUGAAUACCCUUUGGUAAACCAUAUUCACUCUGGACACUUGAGGAAUUUUGAACAUUACAUGCUACAGCUAGAAUUUAUGUUAUGUUGUCCAAGCUUGAUUAUGCAGCAGAAGAAAUCAGCUUUGCAAGUGUGUGUGUAUUUAGGAUGUUUGCCAUCAGAUGGAGUCUGUUUGAGGAAGGAAACGAAAGAAAGGCAGGAGAUGUGUGUUUAGCGUGUGCGUGAGGAUAUGAAUGCUUUAAAUUGUUGCUCAUCUCUGUCUGUUCUAUCAUCUCUUGUGUAUACAUACAGUACAUGCCAAUCCAUGCUCUGUGUGUGUGUGUGUGUGUGUGUGUGUGUGUGUGCGCGCUGCCAAAGCAUAAAAAGUGAGUAAUCAGCAAAACAAACAUACACACAUAAGAAGAUAUGUUUUCGAUCUGGAAGUCUAAGUCAGGAAAUGGUUUCAUCUGAUAAUACAUUCCGCUUUUAUAGCCCAAAAAUGAAAUUCAAGCAUUUCCUGAUCAUGACUGACGAUGAUUCACUGAUUCACUAAUUUCCAUUAUCUUGGCAUGGUGCAUUGGAAAUUAACCAAAACUACACUGAUAAAAACCCAGACUGCAAACAUUGUAUUUCAGCUAAUCUUAUAACAACAUUUUCUGUGUAAUCUAUUUCCAGAGGGAGUUUUUUCUGCCCUAUUUGUGAGGCAGAAUGAUCAAAAAAGACUUUUAUACCUGCCUCACUGGUGACAAAAGUUUAUUUUGAUAGUUAUCGACAUUUUGUUAUCAAAGCUGACAAACAAGAGGAGAAUAGCAAGGGAUGAUAAGGUCUAGAUUUUCAAGUUGCUAUUUGAGGUGUUCUACUUUACACAUUUUUUUGCUACGGUUAUUUUUUAUUUUGUCAAAACAUUGCAUUGUUCUUUGAAAAUUCUGACAUCAAUUAGGCCAAUUCUUAUCACAGUUUUUUAUUUACUCUUUUACUUUCAUUAAGUUCUCCAAACAUAGUUUCAGUGUGAAAAUCUCUUGAUGAAAGGAGCUAAACUGAGCUACCGCAAUCUAUUUUAACGCUGCAUUCAUUGAUUGUGGCCACUAGGGGGGCAGUAGAACCUCAGAACAAACUGACAAGCACUGCCCCAACAUGCUAUAUUUGCCUUACAUGGUUGUUAUGGCUACCAUGGGCUACCAGUUUUUUUUACAGAAAAUACCCAGAUUUUUAAUAUGCAUUUAAGCACAGUUAAAAGAUUUUCACCUGGAUUGUAUGUCCCUUGGCACAACAGCUGUUGUGUUUCCUGCUGCAAGAUAACACACUGAAAAAGGGGAGGUGAGGGAUUGUUUAAUUUACAAAUAUGCAAUUAUAUACUACACAAUUUAUUUAUAUUUCCUUUUCAAACAUAUUUCAAUCUCGCAGAAUUCUUUUAAAAUUGAGUGAUGUAAAUUCAACUAGUCUCAAUCAUGUUGAGAUAAAUUGAUGAAGUUGUGUUUUGUUCAAAAUGGAAUGCCCCACCUCCCGGGAACAGGCUCAACAACAGCCAGGGACCGUUACACACUGCGCCAUUUUGUCUCCCAUUGCAAAAGAAAAAAGGCAUUUGUCGUGGACCUCCAGAGCUUUCUACACAGCGAAGAUAUCAGGUGUUCCUCCAGCCAAGGGCAUUGAUUGACUUCUGCUACGCUUUGAGUGAUGCUCCAAAGUCUUCAUGGUAGUGAUAAAUGCAGAAUUUGUGUAUUUCCACAGUCUCCUGCAGCCCAGAUGUACAACCUGACAAGCUGCUGAAGAUAUUUGUAAAAAGAGGACAGAGAAGCGAAACACUAGAGAGCAUUAUGGCACCCAUGGCUUAAAUAAGAAAAAAACAACACUUUUCUGUUGCUGUACAUAUUGCUGCUAACAUAUGAAUGAGAAAUAAGGAUUCUAACCAAAUAACCUUUUCUGCUGCUCUGUCUUGACCAGGAUGACGAUGUUGAUUUAGGACGAGAGGCAUGGGACUUAGUACUUACUAUCUGUGCUGUGGACAAGAUACAAGAGGAAUCAAAACAGGAGGAAGACAUAACAGCGCAGCAGAAACCUUGAAAGAGAGCAACCUCAGCCCCUGCCUGAAGAGAGCUUUAAUCAUCAGAGACAUCAGAUCCGAGUCUCCACCCCCCUCACAACAACCACCGGUCGCAGAUCAUGCUCUCAUCCAGGGAUCCACUGAGGAGACCACAGUGGGAAUACGUUAUCAAAGACCAGGAUACCUGCGUGUAAACCAGCGGACAUCGGGACUGUCCUCAAGGGCAAGAUGGUGUUGGUAGAUUGCAGAGAAAUGUAUUUGCGGCUGCCAUUUUGUUUGAACUCAAGUCCACCUUUAAAGCACUCCAGGUUGUCAUGGAGCUGGAAAGCAACGCACUCUCCAGGAUCAGCAUCAAAGACUAUCAGUGUGCUGUUACCAAUGUGCAAUGGCAAGACACAGUUUUACAUGUUCACCAUCUUGGAUUGUGGACAUUAUUGCUCCCUCCGUUGCACUGAUCGUGGACUUGUGUUAUUCAUUCUAAAAGCUUUAAGCAUGUACUUUAGUUCAUCUCACAUGAACUAGGACUGUUUGUUUGUAUGAUACCUCCCUGCUGCUUUUUAAGUUUUAAGUCUUUGUUUGUUGUUGUUGUAGAUAUGUAAUGUUCCUCUUAGCUUCUACUUUUGAUGGAUGUUAAUUUUAUCUCCUGAUAUUGUCCUGCUUUCCUUUGAUUAAUUUGCAAUAUCUUAAAAUUAUGGCUCUUACAAAGAGAGACAUUUAACAGUCCAGUGACAUGAUUAAAUGAUGUGAAGUAAGUCAGAACUUGUAUUGGCAUUACUACAAUACUAUAUAUAUGCACACUUGUAAAACCCUAAACUUGUUUGAACUGGGCUCUGGGUGGAUUUUGAGUCCAAUGUCUAAGUUGUACAAUAUUCUUUGACCAAAUACAAGUCAUUUUUGUGCAAGAAAUGUGU